Myotis myotis is the source of this 891-nucleotide long non-coding RNA. RefSeq lists it as uncharacterized. The record is from RefSeq and is a predicted model, not a curated record. NCBI's taxonomy places the organism in Eukaryota, Metazoa, Chordata, Mammalia, Chiroptera, Vespertilionidae. The transcript is spliced from 2 exons.
UGGGAUCAGGCCUGCAUUCUGUGCCCCAAACCCUCAUUGAACCCUCACCCUUUAUUCUCCCCUCCCCAGGGCUCUGCUCCCCUUUCCCUGUCGGACCGCAUCCUGGAAAGGAUCCCACGGCAGGAAAGCUGUGAGCCAACAGCGAUUAAACUCCCCUGGUGCAGGGGCUUCCAUCCAUUGGCUGGUUGAACCGUCACCGUCCUGCGCAGCUGAGGGGAGGCGAGCUCAGGGCAGCAAGGCACCUCGCUGCAGGCCACACAGCAGACAGGGGAGGAACCGAGACCAGAACUGGGCCCACCCGGCUCCUUCAGGCACCACCAGUCAAGGUGCUGCCUAGCCCAGCUGUUGACUCAACCGACAUCUGGAACACCACAGCCCAUCUGGAUCCAGGAAGGGAGCAGCCCACACGCUCCCACGUUACUGAGGGACUGAAACACCCCAAGGCACCUGUCCGAGGCUUGCGUGACGAGGGUGGCUGUCCUCUGGAGGAGGAAGCUGCCAGUUUCGAUCUGCACUGAUAAGAGGUACGCAGACCUGAUCAGUCCCUGGGAAAGUGGCGACUUCCAGCCCACCUGCUUUCAAACCACACAGCCCAGUCUUGGAAGGCCACUGACUUUAUUGAUUUAAAAAACUUUAUAUGGACAGUGACUGUUUUGCCAAAAGAGAAGCCAAACGUCAUUAAACAGACCAGGGGGAGGGUAGGGGCCAGAAAUCCACUCAGCAAAGCUGAUUAUUGACCUGAAACUGGCAGGGGAAAGAGGAGGGAGAUGCAUGCAAGAGUGAGGAUUCCAAAAAAGUUGAAAUGGUGAGGGGAGAGAACUCCCCCGAGACCCGGACAUCGGUGGUGAGCAGACAGCAAUCGCUUCCUUGGUAGAGGACAAGGGAGUAGCC